UGCUGGGACUGGCUCAAGCUCCAACAGGAGCCGUCGUUCUUUUACAAAGAGGGGUGGAGGUUCCAGUGGAGGUUGUUAUUGCCUUUUUUUUUUUUUUUAAUGAAUGGAGGGCGGCGGCGACUGCUGCAGCUGGGCCAGCUGCGCGGGCUGCACCCCCUCCCAGCCUGCGAGAGGAGGGCUUGGACUGUCAGAUUACAUUUCUAAGUUUCCAGAA
Chlorocebus sabaeus (green monkey) is the source of this 214-nucleotide non-coding RNA. The record is from RefSeq and is a predicted model, not a curated record. NCBI's taxonomy places the organism in Eukaryota, Metazoa, Chordata, Mammalia, Primates, Cercopithecidae.